CCUACGGGAGGCAGCAGUGAGGAAUAUUGGACAAUGGGCGCAAGCCUGAUCCAGCCAUGCCGCGUGCAGGAUGACGGUCCUAUGGAUUGUAAACUGCUUUUAUACGAGAAGAAACACUACUUCGUGAAGUAGCUUGACGGUAUCGUAAGAAUAAGGAUCGGCUAACUCCGUGCCAGCAGCCGCGGUAAUACGGAGGAUCCAAGCGUUAUCCGGAAUCAUUGGGUUUAAAGGGUCCGUAGGCGGUUUAAUAAGUCAGUGGUGAAAGCCCAUCGCUCAACGGUGGAACGGCCAUUGAUACUGUUAGACUUGAAUUAUUAGGAAGUAACUAGAAUAUGUAGUGUAGCGGUGAAAUGCUUAGAGAUUACAUGGAAUACCAAUUGCGAAGGCAGGUUACUACUAAUUGAUUGACGCUGAUGGACGAAAGCGUGGGUAGCGAACAGGAUUAGAUACCCUGGUAGUCCACGCCGUAAACGAUGGAUACUAGCUGUUGGGAGCAAUCUCAGUGGCUAAGCGAAAGUGAUAAGUAUCCCACCUGGGGAAGUACGUUCGCAAGAAUUGAAACUUAAAUUGAAUUGACGGCUUGAGAGNGCGAGACGACGACGAGGAGGAGG
Molecule: ribosomal RNA, 611 nt
Filed under: uncultured bacterium
Lineage: Bacteria
Description: bacterial SSU rRNA
Rfam family: Bacterial small subunit ribosomal RNA
Source: RNAcentral